RNAcentral lists this small nuclear RNA (23 nucleotides) under Arabidopsis thaliana (thale cress). RNAcentral's name for it is "snRNA_03534". The record is from RNAcentral. Lineage: Eukaryota; Viridiplantae; Streptophyta; Magnoliopsida; Brassicales; Brassicaceae.
UGACCCAAGGCCUAACUGAGAGA